This 87-nucleotide transfer RNA is filed under the name Candidatus Wildermuthbacteria bacterium. Its description in RNAcentral is "tRNA-Ser". It matches the Rfam family "tRNA". From Rfam's summary of the family: Transfer RNA (tRNA) molecules are approximately 80 nucleotides in length. The record is from RNAcentral. Lineage: Bacteria; Candidatus Wildermuthiibacteriota.
GGAGGGGUGUCUGAGUGGUUUAAGGAGAUGGUCUUGAAAACCAUUAAGGGUGAAAGCUCUUCGUGGGUUCGAAUCCCACCCCCUCCG